AUGAAUUGCCUAAGCUGGAACUGUUGGGGGGCCAACAAACCGACAGUUCGUGAGUUAGUUGGCAUGGUUAAAUCAUUUCAUGCUAAGAUAGUCUUUUUAUGUGAAACUAGGCAGAGUUCUGAAAAAGUGAAGCGCUUGCGUGGUAGGUUAGGUCUAAGAGGUUUCUCUGGUGUUAGCUCUAAUGGCCUUAGUGGAGGUCUAGCUCUUUUUUGGUGUGAUAGUCUGCAUGUAGAAGUUCAGUCAUCUAAUGAAAGAUAUAUUGAUGUGUAUGUGAGGCUUUCUGAUCAUGAUCCUUUGUGGCGGUUGACGUGUGUCUAUGGCGAACCACGAACAGAAAACCAUCACAACAUGUGGACACUUAUGCAAAAUCUGAAACAGCAGUCUGACCUUCCGUGGUGUGUCAUUGGGGAUUUUAACGAGGCACUAUGGUCUUUUGAACACUUUUCUGCGACACCAUGUAAUGAAGCUCAAAUGUUGGCUUUCCGGGAUACCCUCGAGGUAUGUGGUUUAAUUGAUCUUGGUUUUUCUGGCUUACCAUUUACAUAUGACAAUAAGUAG
RNAcentral lists this ribosomal RNA (558 nucleotides) under Triticum aestivum (bread wheat). Its description in RNAcentral is "partial small subunit ribosomal RNA". Lineage: Eukaryota; Viridiplantae; Streptophyta; Magnoliopsida; Poales; Poaceae. The record is from RNAcentral.